Exaiptasia diaphana is the source of this 413-nucleotide RNA transcript. RefSeq lists it as uncharacterized. The record is from RefSeq and is a predicted model, not a curated record. The transcript is spliced from 5 exons. NCBI's taxonomy places the organism in Eukaryota, Metazoa, Cnidaria, Anthozoa, Actiniaria, Aiptasiidae.
CUCUACUUAGCCAACUGCACGCAGUUAUCUGAUCAAUAGGACAAUACUAGUACUACUGAGAACCAUGUUGUCAAGAAUUGUACUACUGCUGAUUUUGGUMGUGRUUCCCGCUGUUGUGUACUCAUACCCACCACCCUAUCAACAAAUAUCCAGUUUGCAAGGAUGUAGAGACGCUAUUUCCAAUUGCCGCCAGCGUUUUAACAGUAUGAACCAUCAUCCGUAUUUCUGCUUCAGAUAUGGACAAAGCUGCAAACGUUUUUGCCAGAUGUGUCACAGCGAUUGUCGGGAUACUUGGGGUUAUGGCUAUUAUUGCCAUGGUUGGAGAAGAAGGGGUCAAUGCCGAACAAGCUACGCUGCAAAAAAAUGUCGAAAAACUUGUUCAUUUUGCCGAAAAUGAGAUUAAGGUGAGAUAC